AGAGUUUGAUCAUGGCUCAGGACGAACGCUGGCGGCGUGCCUAACACAUGCAAGUCGAACGGAGAUGUUAAGGAAGUUUUACUGAAUUAAUGUCUUAGUGGCGGACGGGUGAGUAACGCGUGGGUGACCUACCCAUAAGAGGGGGAUAACAGUUGGAAACGACUGCUAAUACCGCAUAAGCUGAGUAAUCAGUAAAGGAGGCCUCUGAAAAUGCUUCCGCUUAUGGAUGGACCCGCGUCUGAUUAGCUGGUUGGUGGGGUAAAGGCCUACCAAGGCGACGAUCAGUAGCCGGCCUGAGAGGGUGAACGGCCACACUGGGACUGAGACACGGCCCAGACUCCUACGGGAGGCAGCAGUGGGGAAUAUUGCGCAAUGGGGGAAACCCUGACGCAGCGACGCCGCGUGAGCGAAGAAGGCCUUAGGGUCGUAAAGCUCUGUUUUAAGGGACGAAUGUCGCGGGUAAUAAUACGAUCUGCGAAUGACGGUACCUUAAGAGGAAGCCCCGGCUAACUACGUGCCAGCAGCCGCGGUAAGACGUAGGGGGCGAGCGUUGUCCGGAAUUACUGGGCGUAAAGAGCACGUAGGCGGGAUUUUAAGUCAGGUGUGAAAGACCGUGGCUCAACCACGGGGUUGCACUUGAAACUGGGAUUCUUGAGGGCAGGAGAGGAAAGUGGAAUUCCUGGUGUAGCGGUGAAAUGCGUAGAAAUCAGGAGGAACACCGGUGGCGAAGGCGACUUUCUGGACUGACCCUGACGCUGAGUGCGAAAGCGUGGGUAGCAAACAGGAUUAGAUACCCUGCUAGUCCACGCUGUAAACGAUGGAUACUAGGUGUGGGAGGUAU
This 841-nucleotide ribosomal RNA is filed under the name uncultured bacterium. Its description in RNAcentral is "bacterial SSU rRNA". It matches the Rfam family "Bacterial small subunit ribosomal RNA", at positions 8 to 832 of the family's 1533-position model. The record is from RNAcentral.